GCAAUUGAGUCCACUGAAAAGAAUAGCCAUGAGAUAGUAAAUAGCAACGGAAACAAGCUUGUAGUCCAAUCAUAAGCAUAACAGAACAGGUAUAACGUAUGUGAAUGGACAGAUUCAGAUUACCAUGCAAAUAAUCUAAUUUACUCACCACUGCCUCGUCAAAUAUUUGAAACAAAGAUGGACAUGUUUUAAGGCAUUCAGUCGUCUCACAUUGUUCCCACAAACCAUGAAUAAAUUGCGAGUAAUAAAUCAAAUGGUAAACAUAAUCGUCACAAGUAGGUAUUUGAAAAGAUUCACAUGGUUCAC
RNAcentral lists this long non-coding RNA (306 nucleotides) under Gossypium barbadense (sea-island cotton). RNAcentral's name for it is "long non-coding RNA (GBAR_LNC023078)". The record is from RNAcentral. Lineage: Eukaryota; Viridiplantae; Streptophyta; Magnoliopsida; Malvales; Malvaceae.